Molecule: long non-coding RNA, 1922 nt
Filed under: Homo sapiens (human)
Lineage: Eukaryota; Metazoa; Chordata; Mammalia; Primates; Hominidae
Description: non-protein coding lnc-SLC25A16-5:1
Source: RNAcentral
ACUCCGAACGGGUCUCCUCGGCCUCGCAGAGCCUUUUGGGGGCUUCCCAGUACGCACUGCUAGGGCUGGGAAGCCCUUCAACGGCGGUAGACAGGGUCCGGCGCGCGCUGGGCGGGUGCGUGGGCAGGCCCAUGCCGAGGCCAGUGGGCAACGCCGCGCGCCGCCUCGCCAUUUGCAGCCGGAAGCUGAAGCCCUCCAUCCCGCCCAUUGCGGGGGAGAUGUUAACGACCAACAGCUUCGCGCGAGGCCACAGGCCUGGCGUCGGUGGAGAGGGGCUUCGCGCAGUUUGGGGUGGGCCAGAUGGGCCGGAGGUGUAGCCAGGAACGGACAGAUGUCCGUCUCUUAAGUCUUAGGUUUUAAUCGUGAAGCUGAUCCCUGGUUCAUUGUGAUCCUUCUCACGCUGUCCAUUUGACAUAAGAAACCCGAGAAAGGAAUGUACUUGUCUGAAGUCCCACAGUCUGUUAGUGGCACAGUCAGGACUAGAGAAUUUAGCUCCUGAAGCCGAGAUCAAUGCUCUUUCUGCCACAUCAGCCUGAGAACUUUGAGUUUUGCAGUGUUUUGGGGAAGAUGCUCCCGUGAAACAAUGAACAGGAAAAACCUGAAGAAGCCUCACAUUUUCUGCUAGCGAGAAAAGCCAAAAUGUCUUCCACAGAUUAUCUAUUUGCAAUGAAUAAAAAAGGAUUUAAUUUUAGUGAUGGAGAUUAACUGCCCGUGAAUCACCACCUUACACAAAACUGAAACCUUUGACAAUACAAAGGGUAACUUCCUUAGUGUUUCUAUACCUUUGCUUACUAUCACCGAGGCUAGUUGGCUUUUCACAGCCAUUUCUUCAUCUCUUCAUGAUCCUUGCGACCCAGCUACUCUACCCAAUGGAGACACAGGGCUACUCUCACAAACCACUUGAUAACGUCUAGCACACCAGCCUUAAAACCUAAGCAUCAAACUGUGUCCUAGCAAAAUUACAAAUUGUUACAUGUCGUGGAGUUUGGGAAUUGGUCCUGAAUAGCUGGAACCACAAAUGUUAAAUCUGUGAUUGCUUCAAGCCUUCUGCAUAACUACGGCUUGGCCUGAAGGCAAGGGCUGUAUGUUUGCAUGUAACUUUAUGGAUUCAAUACUUAGAAACACAAGGAGUGUUCAGCUAUUGAUGACGGAGAAAUCCACCUCUCUUCCUAGGUUAUGAGAAUAGCUAUGCAUCUCUAGAUCUGCGGUUUUCCACAUCCUUUUGUCCUAAUCCCUCAGUCCACUCCCAAUUCUACCAUAGUAGGGUCUUUAUAGCCCUACAACAGGGUAUGAUGAUGUGCAUAAAAACACAGUGUAGAUAUGGCUAAGAAUGCCGCACGUAAAAUUGGGAUAAAAGGAACAGAUGUUAUUGUCUUGUGGUUGAAGGUUAAUAACAGCUGAAGUAAAAGUUGAGCUCCUGAGCACUCUUUGGCAUUCAUUUGUAUGUCAGAGGUCCUAAGAGCGGGCCUGAAAAAAAAGAAAGGAGUAGACUGUUCAAAUCUCCCUAUUCAAGUGAUUAACAAGUAUACGAGUGUUUUAGAAUGACCUUCUGUGACUUGCAACACUACAGACUCUGCCUUUCUAAGCCCUAAAUUCACUGAACCAAAUCUCUGGCUGCUGUCUGUGUCAGAUGGAAAGGGCAAGUAUAAACCGAUGUGUCAGUAAUUUGACCAAGGAGUGGCUUAGCUGAAAAAAAUAUGUACCACAUUACACAUGUGUUCUCCGGGGAUAUCAUUUUUGCCUCAAUCAACUAGAAAACGUGGGAACGGGAUGCAGGAGUGGAGAACUUUGUUUUCUUCAUAUUUGCUCUGUCUGUAAAUCUCAAGAGAUUGUGUCUGAUGAGAUUUGGGGUUAGGGGGAGGCAUACUGUGCAUGAAUAAUUAAAAUGCACAAUAAUUCAAGAUACAAUCUUAUUAGAACAU